UCUGCAACCUCUAAAAUGCCUUAAGAGCUUCAAGAAAAGGUGUAAUCCAUUCUCUCCAAGAAGAAUAAGACUCCAAUAUUGUAACAAAAGAAGUAUCAGUUUAAAGGAGGGUAAUCCGCAACCUCUAAAAUGCUAGUACACUUCCAAGCAGAGGGGUAAUCCGUAUUCUAACGAGGAAGAAACUAACUCUAAUAUCUGAGGUGAGUGAAGUCUUGACAAACUGUCAU
This 227-nucleotide long non-coding RNA is filed under the name Physcomitrium patens. RNAcentral's name for it is "long non-coding RNA (PPAT_LNC000205)". The record is from RNAcentral. Lineage: Eukaryota; Viridiplantae; Streptophyta; Bryopsida; Funariales; Funariaceae.